GAGGCUAUAGGGAACUUUCGGGAUAGCAUUUGAAAUGUAUAUAAAGAAAAUAUCUAAUAAAAGUAUUAUAAAAUAAAAUAAAAGAGGAGUAGACCAGACUUCAACCUAACACGCACACAAUGAAUUGAGUUAUGGUUUGGCAAAAAAAGGAGAACUAUUAUGGAUUGCCUUAGAAUCAUAAAUACUCAAAUCACCCACCAGCACAAAUCUGGUGUUAGAAGAGUAAGAAAGCACCUGUUAGCUUUCCCUCAGCAGAACGGCCCAUCUCGUUACUGGGCAGUGUCUGGCCUUAUUCCCUGGUCCCUCAAGCUGUGAUAGAUGACAUCAUUUCAAGAUUUCUGGAAACCUACUUUCAACCAUCACAAAUGGCUAGAGAUGUACUUUGAGUGUCUAGUGGUUAUUUCCUGUGAUAAAAUUCUUUUAAAAACAAAAAAAAAUUACAUUCAUAAUUUUUCAAGGUUUUUUUUUUUUUUUCUUUUCUUUUUUUUUUUUUUUAAAUUGGCUUUUCUGAGACAGGGUUUCUCUGUGUAGUACUGGCUGUCCUGGAACUUUUUUGUAGACCAAGUUAGCUUCAAACUCACAGAGAUCUGCCUGCCUCUACUUUCUAAGUGCUGAGAUCAAAGGCAUGUACCACCAACACCUAGCAAGUUCUUAAUUCUAAAGAUACUAUACUUAACUAUACUUGGAAAGUAUCUGUAUCAAUUUAACUAAGACUGAAUUUUUUUUCUAAAAACCAAAAAUAUCAAAACCAAUAGGCAUAAACAUAGGAAAAAUAGUAUAAAAUUAGAAAUAUAAAAAAUACAACAGUAAAACAUAUUUAUAUAUAGAACCUAUAUCUCUUUUUUUUUCCACUUCCAAUUUAAGGCAGUUUAUUGUACAACUAAAGCUAAUUGAAGCUCUAGUUUUGUGACCUGGAACAAAUUGCUUAAUGUCACUGAGUGCCUCCCUGUUGUGUCAUCGUGGGGACUAGAAGAAAACCCUGGUGCAGAUUGUGGAAUCUCCAUACUGCAAACUUCGGUUCCUGUCAUACAUUAUGCAUACAGGUAUUUCCUAUCCACUGAACUCAUCACAGAGCAAAAUUUGUUAGUGGAAAAAAAGUGAUUCUUUAAAACCAUAUUCAGUGCCUCGAAUGUUUUUACUGCCCACAGUGAGCCUAAAAAUGCAAGGCCAUAAUCACAUGCCCAGAUGCACAGACAUUACCACGUUAAGAAGCCAUUGGAUUCUGUAGGUUCUGCCUUCCUACCUUGACAUCCUCAUUAGGAAGCAUCAUUAUACAAAAGGCCAGGUUUUAAAUCCAGAACCUAUGUCUCUUACUUAAAGCGGACAGUGUAUGUCCAUUUCCUCCGGCUGUCUGUGAGAGACACACUGGUGAAAACUGGAAGGGGAGCAGUAGGAGUUGCCCUAAGUUCUUCUCUCAGAUGACAAGGUUUUCAGCCGCCUGCCUUUUGAAAGGGGGAUGAUGUGAUUUCACUAGCUCUGAGAAAAGACCACCGCACGGUCCCUCAGGAAUACAUUAAAACCCACCUGCAGGAUCCACAGCACUGAGUCAUUUCACACCCUGCACCUUACCUUUGCACGGGGAAAUCAAGUCCUCUUUCUUGUCUAGAUGGUCUCUGUGGCACUUAACAUGGCAUCUUCGACACUCUAGGGCAGGUGGUGGCUUAAAGACAUGCCACAAAGGUUUGGCACAGGCCUCACAGUUGGCAGGAAAGUGGUAGAGGGUAGGAAUGAAUUCAUGGCCUUUGUGAUUCUGGAAAUUAGUUUUUUCACCUUGUUGAACCGGUUCCACUUCUAUAUCUUUUCUACAUUCACCUUCAUUUGCAUAUAGUAUCUAAAUUCAGGAGGGGUGAAGAAGAUUGAAAAAAACCUUAAUCUGUAAAUAAAAAUUCUACAUGCAUGAAAACACUGUUACCUAUUUCACAAAAUUGCUUCGGUAAAAGAGCUUUUAGAAUUAUAAAUAUAACAUUUGUACCUGGAAUAUUUUAGGAAUUUCUUCAGUUUCUGCUCUGUACACAUCUCCUUGGGUUACAGGUCGGACAUGAAACAAUUUACUAAGAUAGAAAUAUAUGAUAUAAAUCCAUUAUAAGAAUCUCAUUGGUAACAAAAGGCAUACAUUUCACUAAAGAGAUAUUAAGUGGCAAAGGAACAAAAAAAAAUAUGUCCAGUAUCAAUAAUCAUGUGUGUGUAUAUAAAAGCAUGCCGUGGUAUACCUUUUAGAAUUUUAAGAGAAACAAUAGGGGCUAGAGUGAUGGCUCAGAGGUAUAAAUAUAAGAAUGUAUACUGUUCUUUCAGAGGACCACAGUUUGGCUAUCAGCACUCAAAUCUGGUGGCUCACAGUUGCCAGUAACUCCAACUCAAAAGGCUUAAAAGGUCUCUACACUCAUGUGUACAUACCCUCACAUAUAAUAAAAAUAAGACUCUAAAAGUAAAACAAAUGUUGACAAAAAUGUAUAGAAGCUAGAUUACUCACAUAUUGCUGACAGAAACGCAAAAUUGCAAAUCCACUUGAAAAACAACUUGGCUACUUGUUUUAUAAACUAGACUCACUCUUAUUUUUACUAUUCCAUUCAAGCUUAUCAUUCAUAACUAAUAGUUAAAGCAGUACGAAAUAUUACCCAAGCUUGUUCAAUUUUGUUUAUCUUCUAACAAGUACUAGCUCCAAAAUGUUUUAUUUAACAUGAAAACGUUACAUUUUAUGUAUGGGUGCACAUGCCAUGGUGUAUGUGUGGAAGCUAGAGAACAACGUUCUGAAGUUCAUUCUCUUCCAUUCUGUGGAUUCCAGGGAUCAAACUUACAUUAUCUGGCAUGGCAACAAGCAACAUUACCCACUAAGCCAUCUUGAUGGUCCUUUAUUAAACUUUACAUAACUCUUGAAUAGCAUUUCCCAAACCUCGUAUUGAAUUUAUAUUGUACACUUAAAAAUUUUUAAGUAGUUGUCUCUAAGGUUCUUAAAUAUAGAAGCUAGUUUCAUUACAUAUGUAUUACCUGUAUGAUAAUAUAGACAAAUGGAAUGUGAAUGAACAUGCAUAGAAAAACCCAAUAUUAUUUAAAAAAGGUUAUUUGUUUACAUUAAUUAACAUAAACUACUGAUGGUGUCAGUAUGAUGAUCAAAUAAUGUUACAC
RNAcentral lists this long non-coding RNA (3123 nucleotides) under Mus musculus (house mouse). RNAcentral describes it as "long non-coding RNA chr18:10068649-10071772". The record is from RNAcentral. Lineage: Eukaryota; Metazoa; Chordata; Mammalia; Rodentia; Muridae.